RNAcentral lists this long non-coding RNA (199 nucleotides) under Carica papaya (papaya). Its description in RNAcentral is "long non-coding RNA (CPAP_LNC002961)". The record is from RNAcentral. Lineage: Eukaryota; Viridiplantae; Streptophyta; Magnoliopsida; Brassicales; Caricaceae.
ACUCCUUAAAGACUAUGAUUGUGAUAUCUUAUACCAUCCGGGUAAGGGCAAUGUGGUAGCAGACGCUCUCAGCAGAAAAAGUGCAGGUAUCUUAAUCCAUUUGAUGGUUUCAGAAUGCAGGCAAAUUGGGGCCACACAACAGGUUCGACUUCAGGACUUGAGGAGAGUCACAUGUUUGGGCCGCUUGACAGUCCAGCCC